UUAAGUUAUUAAGGGCGCACGGUGGAUGCCUUGGCACUAGAAGCCGAUGAAGGACGUUACUAACGACGAUAUGCUUUUGGGGAGCUGUAAGUAAGCUUUGAUCCAGAGAUUUCCGAAUGGGGAAACCCAGCAUGAGUUAUGUCAUGUUAUCGAUAUGUGAAUACAUAGCAUAUCAGAAGGCACACCCGGAGAACUGAAACAUCUUAGUACCCGGAGGAAGAGAAAGAAAAUUCGAUUCCCUUAGUAGCGGCGAGCGAAACGGGAAGAGCCCAAACCAACAAGCUUGCUUGUUGGGGUUGUAGGACACUCUAUACGGAGUUACAAAGGACGACAUUAGACGAAUCAUCUGGAAAGAUGAAUCAAAGAAGGUAAUAAUCCUGUAGUCGAAAAUGUUGUCUCUCUUGAGUGGAUCCUGAGUACGACGGAGCACGUGAAAUUCCGUCGGAAUCUGGGAGGACCAUCUCCUAAGGCUAAAUACUCUCUAGUGACCGAUAGUGAACCAGUACCGUGAGGGAAAGGUGAAAAGCACCCCGGAAGGGGAGUGAAAUAGAACCUGAAACCGUGUGCUUACAAGUAGUCAGAGCCCGUUAAUGGGUGAUGGCGUGCCUUUUGUAGAAUGAACCGGCGAGUUACGAUUUGAUGCAAGGUUAAGCAGUAAAUGUGGAGCCGUAGCGAAAGCGAGUCUGAAUAGGGCGUUUAGUAUUUGGUCGUAGACCCGAAACCAGGUGAUCUACCCUUGGUCAGGUUGAAGUUCAGGUAACACUGAAUGGAGGGACCGAACCGACUUACGUUGAAAAGUGAGCGGAUGAACUGAGGGUAGCGGAGAAAUUCCAAUCGAACCUGGAGAUAGCUGGUUCUCUCCGAAAUAGCUUUAGGGCUAGCCUCAAGUGAUGAUUAUUGGAGGUAGAGCACUGUUUGGACGAGGGGCCCCUCUCGGGUUACCGAAUUCAGACAAACUCCGAAUGCCAAUUAAUUUAACUUGGGAGUCAGAACAUGGGUGAUAAGGUCCGUGUUCGAAAGGGAAACAGCCCAGACCACCAGCUAAGGUCCCAAAAUAUAUGUUAAGUGGAAAAGGAUGUGGCGUUGCCCAGACAACUAGGAUGUUGGCUUAGAAGCAGCCAUCAUUUAAAGAGUGCGUAAUAGCUCACUAGUCGAGUGACACUGCGCCGAAAAUGUACCGGGGCUAAACAUAUUACCGAAGCUGUGGAUUGUCCUUUGGACAAUGGUAGGAGAGCGUUCUAAGGGCGUUGAAGCAUGAUCGUAAGGACAUGUGGAGCGCUUAGAAGUGAGAAUGCCGGUGUGAGUAGCGAAAGACGGGUGAGAAUCCCGUCCACCGAUUGACUAAGGUUUCCAGAGGAAGGCUCGUCCGCUCUGGGUUAGUCGGGUCCUAAGCUGAGGCCGACAGGCGUAGGCGAUGGAUAACAGGUUGAUAUUCCUGUACCACCUAUAAUCGUUUUAAUCGAUGGGGGACGCAGUAGGAUAGGCGAAGCGUGCGAUUGGAUUGCACGUCUAAGCAGUAAGGCUGAGUAUUAGGCAAAUCCGGUACUCAUUAAGGCUGAGCUGUGAUGGGGAGAAGACAUUGUGUCUUCGAGUCGUUGAUUUCACACUGCCGAGAAAAGCCUCUAGAUAGAAAAUAGGUGCCCGUACCGCAAAACCGACACAGGUAGUCAAGAUGAGAAUUCUAAGGUGAGCGAUGCGAACUCUCGUUAAGGAACUCGGCAAAAUGACCCCGUAACUUCGGGAGAAGGGGUGCUCUUUAGGGUUAACGCCCAGAAGAGCCGCAGUGAAUAGGCCCAAGCGACUGUUUAUCAAAAACACAGGUCUCUGCUAAACCGUAAGGUGAUGUAUAGGGGCUGACGCCUGCCCGGUGCUGGAAGGUUAAGAGGAGUGGUUAGCUUCUGCGAAGCUACGAAUCGAAGCCCCAGUAAACGGCGGCCGUAACUAUAACGGUCCUAAGGUAGCGAAAUUCCUUGUCGGGUAAGUUCCGACCCGCACGAAAGGCGUAACGAUUUGGGCACUGUCUCAACGAGAGACUCGGUGAAAAUCAUAGUACCUGUGAAGAUGCAGGUUACCCGCGACAGGACGGAAAGACCCCGUGGAGCUUUACUGUAGCCUGAUAUUGAAAUUCGGCACAGCUUGUACAGGAUAGGUAGGAGCCUUUGAAACGUGAGCGCUAGCUUACGUGGAGGCGCUGGUGGGAUACUACCCUAGCUGUGUUGGCUUUCUAACCCGCACCACUUAUCGUGGUGGGAGACAGUGUCAGGCGGGCAGUUUGACUGGGGCGGUCGCCUCCUAAAAGGUAACGGAGGCGCUCAAAGGUUCCCUCAGAAUGGUUGGAAAUCAUUCAUAGAGUGUAAAGGCAUAAGGGAGCUUGACUGCGAGACCUACAAGUCGAGCAGGGUCGAAAGACGGACUUAGUGAUCCGGUGGUUCCGCAUGGAAGGGCCAUCGCUCAACGGAUAAAAGCUACCCCGGGGAUAACAGGCUUAUCUCCCCCAAGAGUUCACAUCGACGGGGAGGUUUGGCACCUCGAUGUCGGCUCAUCGCAUCCUGGGGCUGUAGUCGGUCCCAAGGGUUGGGCUGUUUCGCCAUUAAAGCGGUACGCGAGCUGGGUCAGAACGUCGUGAGACAGUUCGGUCCCUAUCCGUCGUGGGCGUAGGAAAUUUGAGAGGAGCUGUCCUUAGUACGAGAGGACCGGGAUGGACAUACCUCUGGUGUACCAGUUGUCGUGCCAACGGCAUAGCUGGGUAGCUAUGUGUGGACGGGAUAAGUGCUCGAAAGCAUCUAAGCAUGAAGCCCCCUCAAGAUGAGAUUUCCCAACUUCGGUUAUAAGAUCCCUCAAAGAUGAUGAGGUUAAUAGGUUCGAGGUGGAAGCAUGGUGACAUGUGGAGCUGACGAAUACUAAUCGAUCGAAGACUUAAUCAA
RNAcentral lists this ribosomal RNA (2924 nucleotides) under Staphylococcus aureus. Its description in RNAcentral is "bacterial LSU rRNA". It matches the Rfam family "Bacterial large subunit ribosomal RNA". The record is from RNAcentral. Lineage: Bacteria; Bacillati; Bacillota; Bacilli; Caryophanales; Staphylococcaceae.